GUCGCUGCGAGGCGGGGUCUGAAGGAAGCCUGAGCGCAAAGUUAUGAGCCGACGAACAGAAACAGCAUAUAAGGCCCAGUCUCCGGGUAAGUUAGCACAACAUAACGAAGCCCUGGAUUCAGGGGAUAGGGUAAAUGCUGCGGUUGCAUAGCGAAAGUUCACGUU
This is a non-coding RNA of Desulfobacterales bacterium S5133MH16, 165 nucleotides long. Lineage: Bacteria; Pseudomonadati; Thermodesulfobacteriota; Desulfobacteria; Desulfobacterales. The record is from Rfam.